UCUCAUAUAGUGUGCAGUGUUUUAAUUCUUAUAAUAACAGGGUUGCUCAGUUUGCCAGCAGGAGGCCCCUCAAAGCAAGAUGAUGCCUCUCAGUUGGCAGAUUUCUGUGUAAAUAAAUAACACUGCACAUUCCUUUUAAAUACCUGAGUAAGUGAGAUAAUGCUAUGUAACUUUUUUUUUAAUUAAAAAAAACCCCAGCUGUAUUAUGUCAGUGACCUGUAAUAAAUAGCACUGCAAGUAGAAGUGACAGCCUCAUUCACCUUGCAUCCAUGCAGAAAUAACUGAGCUCUAUUUCCAUGGCUGGAGGGAGAAGAAGAAAGAAGAGAAGGAAAGAAAAAAACUGACAUUGGUUUGCAGUCACUCUCAGGCUAACAAGGGGGAGUUACAUGGACAAUUUUUACUGUGUUGCAUUUACUGCUCAACACAUUGCAAGUAACCUCUUGUACUCUAAUCAUUGGGAUAGUCGUUGAUGAUAAUGAAGUGACGGCAAUAAACAGUCUUUUGACGUUUUCCUGAAUUCUGUGUGUUUUUCUGUUAACCUUUCAUCAGUUGGCAAAAUAUCAUACUGAAAUUUUUAUUGCUGGUUGAGCAUAAUGAUGCAAUGAUUACAAACACAAUUUGGAACAAAGAUGGCAAUAAAUGUUUAAAAUUUUCUAAUUGUGAUAAGACAAUAUCAUCUCCACAUCAUCCUCUGCUCUCCCUAAAUAAUGGUAAGUGUAAAGACUGAAAUAUUAAAUAUGAAAAGGAAAAGCC
This 753-nucleotide long non-coding RNA is filed under the name Marmota monax (woodchuck). The record is from RNAcentral. Lineage: Eukaryota; Metazoa; Chordata; Mammalia; Rodentia; Sciuridae.